Molecule: long non-coding RNA, 2332 nt
Organism: Artibeus jamaicensis (Jamaican fruit-eating bat)
Lineage: Eukaryota; Metazoa; Chordata; Mammalia; Chiroptera; Phyllostomidae
Exons: 2
Source: RefSeq, a predicted model, not a curated record
ACUGUUAGGGAAGGAGGCUGCCGGUGACCCGGGUAGGGGUUCUGGUCGUUCAGGCUGCCCUGCCUCUAACGGACUUCCAGGAUCCUCCGUAGGUAACCCUUUCACCUGGGCCCACGUGGGCAAGCGGAGCCGCUUUCCUAGUCCGCGUACUUUCCCAGGCUUGGCCGGUAGCGACGACCCCCUUCACUGGGUAGAUCGUUGCCCCGCCUCUUUCUCCCAGGGAGACUUUGGAUCUCAGAGCCUGGGAAUAGCAACUGCGGAAGUGUGAAAGCCUUUCGGCUUUAAAAUUCUCAUCUGCAUGGACUGCACCUCAAUCAGGAACGGGACCUGUUUAAAUAUUAGCAUGUCAGUGCUGGGAGUCAUCCUCAGGAAUCACUGAGAUCACUGAAGUGGGGUACAUUUGUUUGACCCUUGAAGUCCUAUUAGUAACUGCAAAAAGCCCCACUGCAAUCGAAGAAGAAGAUGCGCUAGGAACGCCUCAGUGCACUGCAGCUCACAUCGUCUGAGGCUAAGUGCUUGGAGUGGCUUCCUGUGGAACCUAUCCACUACUCCUUGUGUGUGCGUAUGCCAAAGUGAGCGACUCUUUCCAAACACUAGUUCACCGAUAAAGCUUUCUGGAGAUCUACUUUGUAUAGAGGAAGGCUCAGCCCUAUAACAUGUUACUUAGUUCGUAAAUCAUGACCAGAGACCUAACAGCUACUUACAUGUCAGUUUUGUCUUUACAGACAUAGCAGUUCUUCGAGGUCUGCUAAGCCCAGCCUCGUUCUCAGCGAAAACCCUGAAUUCAUAUUCAGUAGCUUCCAGCAAACCCCCUAUUGUGAACUGCCUGUCCUUGAUGCGGUCCUUGUUGCUCUUCUUCCAGGCACUGUCCCCAGAUUGUCUAUAUUCAAUCCAGUACCCAAGGAUGUCUUUGCCACCAUCACACUCAGGUUUCUCCCACUGCAGAGUGACACUGUCUUUGGAUAUUGAAAGAAUCUCCAGUUCUCCAGGUUGGCUUGGCCUAUCUGAAAUAUUUUAAAAAACAAUGGAAAAGGGAAUCAGCUGUACUGCUGAAAUAAAAGAAAAGGACCAGAGAUGGCUUGCCGUUUCACUUAUAACCCCUUCAGAAAUUCUCUCCUUACCAAAUGGAUCUUUGCAAAUAACUGGUUCCGAAGCUGGGCUGCUCUCACUUAGGCCAACAUCAUUCUGGGCAAUGAUGCGGAACUGAUACUCAGCAUCCGAAACCAGCCCCGUGACAGUGUACAUUGUGGUCGUUAUCUGAGUCUUGUUGUGCCGGACCCACUUGUCUGUUGAUGUCUCCUUGCGUUCGAUGUAGUAGCCCGUGACUCGGGAACCACCGUCGUCUUUGGGCCGAGACCAGGACAGGCUGACAGAACUCUUGGUCACAUCAAGUACUUCUGGAGGAUUGCUCGGAGGCUCUGGGGGAUCUAAGGAUAUAUGUGGAGAACACACAUGUGUUAGUGCACAGCCCCAGACUUUGUGAGCUGAUAGCUUUCGCUUUGAAACCGAAGAGGGCUGGAAGAAUUUUUGCAAUGCUGUGGUUGGGAGAGCACUUACUUAGUGGUGUUUUUGGUAUGACUGGUUCCUCAGAUUUCAAGGGUUUGCUUAUGCCAAACUGGUUUUCUGCUGAAACACGGAAAUGGUAUUCCACAUUUUCUUUGAGGCCUUUUACCACCAGGGAUGUUCCUCGGACUCUGGAGUCAAUGGUGUACCAGGCGGCUUUAGGCACUUCUCGUCUCUCAAGGAUGUAGCCCAAGAUGUCGGCACCACCGUCAUCGGCAGGGGGUCUCCAGCUGACCCUGACAGAGCGAGCUUGUAUGUCAUCAUAUUCAAGUGGCCCUUCUGGAGUGUUGGGGCUUCCUAUCACCCUGACCUUGAUGUAAACAGCCUUCUUGCCACAUUUGUUUUCCAGAACCAGGUCAUAAGUGCCAGAAUCGUCCCUGACCGCUUCUUUGAUUACAAGCUCGGUGUGGGUUUCAGAGGUUGCAAUCAUGGCACGCUUACUGAUAUCUUGGCCUUCUUUGGUCCAUUUACAUAUUGGGUAUGGUUUUCCUUUGAUUGGAAUGGUAAGUCUGAUGACUCCACCUUGUCUUACAAAGAUACCCUCCUGGUAUCUUUCAUCAAGUUCAUAAUCAGGAUAUUCUGGGGUGGAAAAGGCAGGGUUACAAGUUAAAUUAACUUUCUCUUUUAAAGGAGGAAAUAAGUCUUAAGGCAAUUAUAGCAGAAAGAAAAUGACUAUGUCUUACCAAGCAUUUCGGUGACCUUGACUGUUCCUGGUACCUCAGCAGGCUCCCCGGGGCCACCGGCGUUACACGCUAGGACACGGAAUCUG